Molecule: transfer RNA, 75 nt
Filed under: Zantedeschia aethiopica (calla lily)
Lineage: Eukaryota; Viridiplantae; Streptophyta; Magnoliopsida; Alismatales; Araceae
Description: tRNA-Ile
Rfam family: tRNA
About the family: Transfer RNA (tRNA) molecules are approximately 80 nucleotides in length. Their secondary structure includes four short double-helical elements and three loops (D, anti-codon, and T loops).
Source: RNAcentral
GCAUCCAUGGCUGAAUGGUUAAAGCGCCCAACUCAUAAUUGGCAAAUUUGCGGGUUCAAUUCCUGCUGGAUGCCC